CUUGGUCAUUUAGAGGAAGUAAAAGUCGUAACAAGGUUUCCGUAGGUGAACCUGCGGAAGGGUCAUUCAUAAUAAGUGUUUUAUGGCACUUUUUAAAUCCAUAUCCACCUUGUGUGCAAUGUCAGUCGAUCUUCUUCAUGGAGAUCGACCAAACAUCAACCUUUAUUUUUUAACUCUUUGUCUGAAAAAUAUUAUGAAUAAACAAUUCAAAAUACAACUUUCAACAACGGAUCUCUUGGCUCUCGCAUCGAUGAAGAACGCAGCGAAAUGCGAUACGUAAUGUGAAUUGCAGAAUUCAGUGAAUCAUCGAAUCUUUGAACGCAUAUUGCGCUCUUUGGUAUUCCGAAGAGCAUGCUUGUUUGAGUAUCAGUAAACACCUCAAAGCUUUUGGAUUUUUUAAUCGAAAAGCUUUGGACUUGAGCAAUCCCAACACCAAUCUUUUUGAGAUCGGUGGCGGGUUGCUUGAAAUGCAGGUGCAGCUGGACAUUCUCCUGAGCUAAAAGCAUAUUCAUUUAGUCCCGUCAAACGGAUUAUUACUUUUGCUGCAGCUAACAUAAAGGGAGUUUGACCGUAUUGGCUGACUGAUGCAGGAUUUCACAAGGGUCGGCAACGAUUCUUGUUAAACUCGAUCUCAAAUCAAGUAAGACUACCCGCUGAACUUAAGCAUAUCAAUAAGCGGAGGAAAAGAAACUAACAAGGAUUCCCCUAGUAACGGCGAGUGAAGCGGGAUGAGCUCAAAUUUAAAAUCUGGCUGGUUUACUAGUCCGAAUUGUAGUUUAUAGAAGCGUUUUCGGUGGCAGCCUGGGUAUAAAUCCUUUGGAAUAGGGUAUCAUAGAGGGUGAGAAUCCCGUCUUUGACUCAGUGCAUGCUACUAUGUGAUACGUUUUCAAAGAGUCGAGUUGUUUGGGAAU
RNAcentral lists this small RNA (911 nucleotides) under uncultured zygomycete. RNAcentral's name for it is "eukaryotic LSU rRNA". The stretch from base 627 to 911 matches the Rfam family "Eukaryotic large subunit ribosomal RNA", at positions 1 to 281 of the family's 3401-position model. The record is from RNAcentral. Lineage: Eukaryota; Fungi.